This 1317-nucleotide long non-coding RNA is filed under the name Cervus hanglu yarkandensis (Yarkand deer). RNAcentral describes it as "lncRNA (ENSCHYG00000017156.1)". Lineage: Eukaryota; Metazoa; Chordata; Mammalia; Artiodactyla; Cervidae. The record is from RNAcentral.
UUUUAAACGUCUUCCUGAAAAGAGAAAGACUUUACCAAUUUUUUUUUAACCCCUCUAUUUUCCAUCCUGUAAUCUACACAUGCAGCUCUUUAGUCGAGAUGAGUACCAUUUCAGGGAGAUGGCAUUUAUUUAUUUGUCCCACUUAAGCAUCAGCACAAAAAUUAAAAUGCAGGGUCAGUUAUCGCUGGGGAGUGUUCUCAGCACUGUAAUGUGGUUGCCAGGCAACCUGUGGGCGGGCGUUAGAUAGAGGAAGGGAAAGCUCUCAGCCUGCACUUCAAUAGCAGUAUUGGCUUUCAUUUCAAACGUGCUAAAUAAUAGGUCCAUGCAAUGCAAUUCGCCUCUUUUAGCCCAAUUUGCUUGCUUUUCUUCUUGAAUGGAAAAUUAAUCUGGUUUAGUACCGGGUAACAUUCGCAACCAUACAUUCUCUGCCAGGCACUAAAAGAAAAAAAAAAAGUGUUUUCCACUUUGGGAAAGAAGGAAGGUCUGUUUUUUUCUUCAUAUUUCACAAUCUUUCCUUCUUUCCUUCCUUCUUCCCUCCCUUCUUUUCUUUAUCUUUCCCCAUCUUUCUCUUUCGGUGAAGAAAACACAGGGUCCAGGCGAUGGAUUGAUGAGUUCAGGGAAAAAAGAGCCCCAGACAGCACUUUGCUAGCUGUAAACACCCUCACGUCUUCUAGAAAGCCACGUUUAACAAUUUCGAUAUGUUACCUUCUAUUCUGGAGCUUCUUAAACACUCAUAGACAUCGAGGCGCUGGAGGAGCCUGCGGUCAGCUGUCCCCCCGAUGAGCCUCAGCUCAGGCCUCAGCAGGACUUCUACCUCGAGCCGCAGCAGAAGCUGAAGUAAGCCGGGCCCCUCGCCUCGCCCCUUCCCGCAGCCGGGACCCCCAGCCUCCCUGCCUGUCACACAGAACGGCCAGGGCUUGCUCCCUCUUCUGCUCUUCGCUUGUCUGCCUUAGCUGCGCACAUCGUCUGAGGGGCCCAGAUUCGCUUCCCUUCCAACACGGCCGUUCUCGUGAGGGGCCAUGGAGGUAUACAUCCUGGAGUCAGAACUGCCUCCGGGCAGGAUGGGGUUAAAGCCAACUGGAGCACUCCUGAAAAUCUUAUCUUGGGAUGGGCUUGUCUCUUAUCUGUGGGCCUGAGGCAGUCACUUCACCUGUCUGAGCCUUCUUUACCUGCUUGCCUGCUAAGUCGCUUCAGCCAUGUUUGACUCUGCGACCCUAAAGAUGUAGCCUGCCAGGCUCCUCUGUCCAGUGAAAUUCUCCAGAAAAGAAUACCGGAGUGGGUUGCCAUGCCCUUCUCCGGGGAUCUUCCUGACCCGGG